Anopheles aquasalis is the source of this 3654-nucleotide long non-coding RNA. RefSeq lists it as uncharacterized. The record is from RefSeq and is a predicted model, not a curated record. NCBI's taxonomy places the organism in Eukaryota, Metazoa, Arthropoda, Insecta, Diptera, Culicidae.
GUGGUCUUGGUGCGUACGGUUGUGGUGCUUGCUGCUGGCUGCUGUUCGCCUGCUGGACGUCGGAGACUGGGCCGGAACUGAGGUCGCACCUGGGAGAUUCCGUUCCGUUCCGUGUCGUGAGGUUGCCAAUUUUACGGGCGGAGUAGAGUGGUGAAAAGAGAGGGAAAGUGUUGAUAAAAAACAAAAUGGAUAACUAACUGUGUCCACGGAGUAAUGGAGGACCGUUUCUCGGAUUUUAUAAAUUAGAAUUUCGGCGACCUUCAGCCCGGCAGUCAGCGAGUCAGCGGAGUUCCAGCCCGGCUAACAAAAUACUUCUGCUGCUGCUGCUGCUGCUGCUGCUGCUGCUUCUUCUUGAGGAAAAGCCGCCGCACCGGACUACCGGAGCUGCGCACUGUAUGUUUUGUGCUAUUUUCGCUUUGCUUCUUUGCCUCUGAUGCACACGACGAGAAACGAGAACAUGAAUGGCGCUCGCGGCGGGUGCUUCUACCGGAACCCGGAAUUAAACGAACAUGAAAAGUAAAGAUUGCUGCGCUGUUCAUUCAUUUCACGGCAAACCGUGCGCUAAAAGGUGUUUUAUUGGUGGCUUCCAGGGGUAUGGGGUGCCUUUCUGUGGCGCUAGGUUAGCACCACGAUGUCCAAGGACGCGGUUUGCUGCACCAGUAAGUAUAAAGGUUCAAGGUUGACUUGGGAGCCUACCCCAGUAAUUUUGACUUCGUCUUGAUUACAUGCGUAUGCGAGAGUGAAAAGAGAAAGGCAACCCACUCGGUAUUCCCGGCGACCGGAUCCGCCACCCCGGACCAUAUUCCUUGCGGCCAUGUGGUCGGAAACGAACGGACGGGUCUCCUAGAGGUAAGAUUUCAUGCCACCCAGAGAGCGAUGGACCGAAAAAGGGUUUCAUUUUCUCUUCACAAAAAAAAACAAAUGCACAAGAAACGGAAUCCCCCCUCGACCUUCGUGACCGGUGCAGACAGCCCUCGGUGCAGACGAACUUUCACUUUCUUCCGGGCCACAACUCUUCACUGCGCUGGCUGUUGGCGGUGUGCUCCUCCUUCCUCCCCCCCCCCCUCUCAUGUUUCCUCGGAUCGAGGAACGAAACAAUCGAAACAAUCAAUCGUACCAUUGCGAAUCGGAUUGGAAGUCGAGGUAUUUUUGUUUAGCUGCUUCCCGCCGUCACAACGCCAACGCCAGUACGCAUCGCAUCGCUUGCGAUUGCAUCAUAAGUCCGGCAGCUGAGCAGCCCCUCUGAGUUGGUGCAUCUGCAGCAACUGUUUGCAUAAACUAUGGCACGGUACCCAAGAUGGUACGCAUCGCAUGUUUUCUGCAAACACUGCUGGUGGACAAAAGGGCCCCAUGGCUUGCUAGCCUAGCGUGCCUAUCUGCUGCCAUGCAUCGCCCAACACAAUCAGCAAAGUGGAACAGAAAGGUACCAUCGCGGUUCGGUCUGUUAGAAUGCGAACCAGACCGGAAUGAACCGGGGGAAGAGUUAGGGGAACGGCUUUCAGUUGAGUAUUGUCUGUCUUGGGUGGCAGUUGUUGUUGGCUAGUAAAGUUGAUUGAAAAAAACUGCGAACGUUAUUCGAACUUAACAAUUACAGCCAAGCGUCGUUGUGCGUGGUGUGUUUACCGCUAUUUAUAGAUUAAUCAAAAAGAGGGGGGGGACGCGUCACCGCGACCGCGUGCCAUCUGUUACUCCCUGCUCCUGCUCCCUAGGGGAGCGCAACUGCUUACACUUUUUUGUACUGCUACGGCCUUACACCUUCGCUAUAAGGAUUCUACUAGCACUAACACUAAAACACUCUCUCUCUCUCUCUCUCUCUCUCUCUCUCUCUCUCUCUCUCUCUCUCUCUCUCUCUCUCUCUCUCUCUCUCUCUCUGCUGCUGCUGCUGCUGCUCUGUGACUUUUGGUGCGGAAACGUCGGCGUUCGGCGACGGCAUUCCGCUGGCGAUGUCACGUGCGAUGGUAGCCCUUUUUCUCCUCGAAAACCGCAACGGCCGCAAACCUCCAAAAAGGCCGCCGAAUAAAUUAAUUGUUUCGAAAUGCGAAAUGGAUAGCAACGAAAUGCGAAAUGGAUAAAGGGGGGCCGAAAGCAGCAAAGCGUCCCAACGAGCGACUGUGCCGAGCGUCAAGAACAACAACAUCGAAAAUGACAAACAAAAAAAAAUUGAAAUUCUGUUAAAUUUAGUUCGUACUUAUACCUACAAGAAGAACACCUCACCAUACGCUAACCACGAAACAGACUUACUGUACUACAUAAUUAAAACGCUAUAACUACUGCUACACACUGCUGCUCCUAACUUCUUUUUUUUAUGGUUCGUUCAUUCAUUCAUUUAAAAAAAAAAACACAAAAUACACACGUUCGCAAACCGGGUGGACUUACAGACUAAUUGAGUGACAAGAAGGGGGGAUGACCUGACCGAUCAUCGUGGGGUGCGGGGGGGGGGGGGGGGAGUGGUAGGAAGUGGAAAAAUGGAGCGGGUAAAAUGGUACACCGGUGUGCAGGGCGCGAAUCGAACGAAUUCCAUUACCACUCCGGUAUCGCUUCGUGUGUUCGCUACCACAAUCGGCAGUAUCUACAGGUUACUACUCAUACUCGUCCUCGCCUUUUAUCCUGCCUGUCAACCGCGUGUGCCUAGCCCUAUAUAUCUUACACUGGCCGCAUAUGGUUACAGUUUAGACAGCGCAGCGUUCAGCAGUAGCGUAGGCAGGCGUAGGCAGGCGUAGACAGGCGCUUCUCUAUCCCGCAGUUGCCGCCCCGUGCGUGGAACUGUCGUGGAACGAAUGUGCCAACGAAUCAAUGGGUUUUGUGGUUACGGUUGUGGUUAGUUUGCUAAAAGGGAUUGUUGGUUGUUUGAGGGUGGAGGGUGGGGCUAAGGUUAUUGCUAAGUGGCACCUUGUCCAGUGGGGCGCUAACGUAAAGCUACCAGGACGAGUGAGGUUUGCUCCCUCAGUAGGGGAAGGAAGGCUUAUAUGUAGUAGAAAGGGGUUAAGGAAAUCAAAAGGGUUUUUUUUUCGCAACACGAGGAAAUAAAUAACAGUAAUAACCGGUGCCUUCGACUCGUCUACAUUCUACACACCGAACCGCCGUAUUUUUUAUACACACAACACAUGGAAACAUUAAGAUGAAAGGGUUUAUAGAGUGUUUAGAGUAAGAACGGUGGUAAGUGUUUGUGGCAGAGAUAGAGCGAUAGAAAGGAAAGAAGCACUCUGAGACAGAAAGAUACAGCUCCAAACACAGACACACGCCCAAGGGCCAGCGGAAAAAAAACGCUGACACAUGGCUGUCUAUUCCCGUAGGGCGAUAACGGGUCCGGUCCAUCUGUCCAUGGACAGGCACCGUCAGAUGUGAUCUAAAAAAAAAAAAAAAAAACAAACAAAACGCUUCACGCGAUCGUUAUCGUCCUACGGGAAUCAAGACACCAGGACACCCCAUCGGACAAUCGGUAGUAAAUGCUAGUGGAAAAGGGAAGCGCAGAGUGGAUCCACGGUUUUUCAUGCGGAUGGUGUACUACUCGGGAACACACGCUCGUCCAUGCCGUUUACGAUCAUCGCCGUUGGGUUUAGGGAGCCGCCAUGCCGCAAGCUCACUGUCGACUUGUGUAUGUUGCUGCUGCUGCGUUUGCUGCUGCUGCUGCCUGUGCCCGCUCGCACGUUGGCG